UGGGUGUGCUCAGUGACUGGA
Molecule: microRNA, 21 nt
Filed under: Macaca fascicularis (crab-eating macaque)
Lineage: Eukaryota; Metazoa; Chordata; Mammalia; Primates; Cercopithecidae
Description: novel_miR74-3p
Source: RNAcentral